Molecule: long non-coding RNA, 272 nt
Filed under: Brassica napus (rape)
Lineage: Eukaryota; Viridiplantae; Streptophyta; Magnoliopsida; Brassicales; Brassicaceae
Description: long non-coding RNA (BNAP_LNC002682)
Source: RNAcentral
UUGAUCUGCGCUGAGAGGAUUACCUUGAUGGCGCCUGUUGUUCCUCUCACGCCAAAUACUAUGGAUGCUAGCUUGGAGAGCAAGCUUCAGGAGACAUGUAUCAAUCUCUCUCCUGCGAUGAGAUAGAAGAGAUGCGACGGUGAUAUUCCAAUCAGGAUUCACACGAGAACCCAAGAGGAACCCUACUAGAUCGAUCCAUACUGUAAAUGAGUAAGGGCAUGCGAAGGACAGGUGGUCACGAGUUUCGUCCGGUUCACCACAGAGGAGACACG